CGGAGCGUAGCGCAGUCUGGUAGCGCACCUGCCUUGGGAGCAGGGGGCCGGAGGUUCGAAUCCUCUCGCUCCGACCA
RNAcentral lists this transfer RNA (77 nucleotides) under Desulfuromonadaceae bacterium GWC2_58_13. Its description in RNAcentral is "tRNA-Pro". It matches the Rfam family "tRNA". From Rfam's summary of the family: Transfer RNA (tRNA) molecules are approximately 80 nucleotides in length. Lineage: Bacteria; Pseudomonadati; Thermodesulfobacteriota; Desulfuromonadia; Desulfuromonadales; Desulfuromonadaceae. RNAcentral also lists the same sequence under 1 other name. The record is from RNAcentral.